AAAGAAUCUCAUCAGUAUUUUUUCUAAUACCAAGUUUGAAGAAGAGUCGAGAUUCAAUAAGAAUUUUGUACUGAAGAACCAAGAAUACUCAACGGAGGAAACGGUGAAAAAAAAAAUAGUUAUUCGUCAACGAGCACAGUUUGGAUGGAAGUGGCUGAUGAGGUGAGUGGAUUCUUUCAAUCUUGUUCUUUACUGUUGUUGCAGUUGUCCUUUUAAUGCAUAAUCCUAUGAAGAGACUUGCUUAGUCCUAAGGGAGAAGACUAGGUAUUCCUUUUGCUGUUAAUCAUU
This 288-nucleotide long non-coding RNA is filed under the name Papio anubis (olive baboon). Its description in RNAcentral is "lncRNA (ENSPANG00000050995.1)". The record is from RNAcentral. Lineage: Eukaryota; Metazoa; Chordata; Mammalia; Primates; Cercopithecidae.